This is an RNA transcript of Malania oleifera, 3884 nucleotides long. It is a transcript of the gene named cell division control protein 48 homolog C-like, with no coding region annotated. The record is from RefSeq and is a predicted model, not a curated record. NCBI's taxonomy places the organism in Eukaryota, Viridiplantae, Streptophyta, Magnoliopsida, Santalales, Ximeniaceae. The transcript has 5 exons.
CCUCGCCAGGCAGGUCCAACGUGCCCUUGAAGAAUAUAAACACUUCCUAAACAACAACAAUAACAAGCAUAAGAGGAACAAAUCCCACUCUCCUUCUCAAACCCUAGUCUGCGCCGCCGAUGAUGAUGAAGAAGAAGAUGAUGAUGAUUGCCAAUUCCGAAGCCCCACUCCGAAGAAGCUGAAGAAGAUUGAUGAGUGAACAGAGAUUGAUAUAUAGAGAGGCUCAGCAUCAUCGAAGGCGGCAUAUGGAGCAGGAACGUCCGUCGACGGCUACUACGUCGUCUUUAUCAUCGUCCUCUUCUGACGAUGAAACGGAUGGUGCCGUAUCGACGUAGGAGGACGCGACAUAUGGCGAGAGACUGGAGCCGGAGUUCGAUUUGAUGAGGUCAAUGCUGCGCUCGAGUUAUAGCAAAGCAAAGCCUGCUGUGGAAUCGAAGCCGGAGGAGAAGAAUCUUGAGAUGGAGGAGGUUGCUCAGCAGGCCAAGAAGAUCAAUUCGGUUGAAGGAGAGAGAAUUGAAGGAAUUGGAACGGAUUCGAAACCAGAAGUGAAGGGUUCCGGCGUUGGAGGCAAUGGUGUUGGUGGCGGUGGUGAGGUGAAGGGGAAGGACGAGCCAAUGUUUAGGGAUUUGGGUGGAAUGGGAGGGGUGGUGGAGGAGUUGACAAUUAAUGUUGUUGUUCCGUUGUACCAUCCGCGACUACCUCAGUGUCUCGGAGUUAGGCCGCCAGUGGGGAUUUUAUUGCACGGUCCACCUGGGUGUGGAAAGACGAAGCUGGCUCAUGCCAUUGCCAAUGAGACUGGAUUUCCAUUUUUUAGAUUUCAGCUACUGAAGUGGUCUCUGGUGUUUCAGGUGCAUCUGAAGAGAAUAUUUGAGAGCUUUUCUCAAAAGCUUACAGGACUGCUCCUUCAAUUGUAUAUAUUGAUGAGAUUGAUGCAAUUGCUUCAAAAAGAGAAAAUCUACAGAGGGAGAUGGAUCGACGCAUAGUGACAACUAAUGACCUGCAUCGAGGAAUCACACAGACUUGUACAACCAGCUGAUAAAGAUUUGAAUUCAGAAAGCUCUCAUCAUGGUCCUGGCUAUGUACUUGUGAUUGGAGCUACCAGUAGAAUCGAUGCUGUUGAUUGUGCAUUAAGGAGGCCAGGAAGAUUUGAUCUUGAGAUUCUGUUGGGUGUACCAGAUUAAAAUGCAAGAUUUGAUCUUGAGAUUCUGUUGGGAUUUGUUCUUAGCUUGUUUCUUCAUUGUAUAGCAGCUGGAAAACUGAAGCGAUACCAAACAGCCCCUUUUUGUUGGACAUUCCUCCUGGCAGAGAAAAGCCCUUGUGAGUGCAACAAAAAAACUGAAGUUGCCUUGUUGGUCCUUUGUUUGGUUACCAUUUCAUGCUACCGACAUUUGUCUAUGUUCUAUUUAUCUGGACUUUGAAGUACAUUCAAUGUUGCUAUGGUCACAGUUUUGAAGAAUGUUACCAAUGUGAUAACUGCACUCGGCAAAAUGUAUAUAUUCAAUAAGUACCAUGACAACAAAGUUUGGACUGCUUUGUUCUUAAUGUAUCCAUGCAAGUACCCUUUGAAGAUUGCACUAGUAAAAUGCAUGUGUGCUCAUAUGGUAGGAUGACCUUUGGGCAAGUAAAGAUUUCAGGUUGAUGUUGUUAUUGACAUCGAGGAGUUUCAUGAACCCUGGUUGAGCAUUAGGGUUAAUUUUCCGGAGUUCAUUCACAUUCUCAACGUCUUGUGAAAGCUACCAUCCAUGAAUCACAAUCAUUGGAUCAUUUCUGCAAUUACUGGAGGAAUUACUGAUCUAUCUUUUCAUGCUGUUGGCUAUACAUGGCAAAUUAUUAACUGCUUCUUAACAGCAUCAUACUCUGUGAGUAAGUUUGAAUUUGUUGCUUUUCAUUUGUAUUCUUUGCUUUGGAAGCUCCUUUCCUCUUCCAUUUGUUUUAACAUAAAAUAGGUGCCGGAGACAUUUUAUGAUAUCUUCUUUUGGCCUUCAUGGUCCUACUUAUCUUGAUGAAGUUUUAGCUUAAGAUAUCAUGCUCAAUGGGUUAAAUUACGCUAAAAUUUCUGAAAAUUUUGAUUUUGGCAUGUCUUGCAAUGAAAGCCCUGGCCAACGUUGUUUCUGCACAAGUUUUGUGGGAAAUUUUGAUAAUUUUAUCAAUUUUGGCUUUUGGGAAUUUAUAUUAUUAUGGAGAAAAUGUCACUGAAUAAUAUAAAGUUUGCUGAAAUUGUUGUUGCAUUUAGCCAGGAGAAUCAAAAGCUCAGAGCACCCAUGCAACGAAAGCCCUGGCCAACUUUGUUUCUGCAUAAAUUUUAUGGGAGAUUUUGAGUGAAUUUAUGGAAUUUUAAAUUUUUACAGAAUGAAAAAUAUCAUUGAAUUUUGUAAAUUUUGUUGGAAUUCUUGUUCCAACCUCAAGAAUCAAAAGCCCAGAGCACCCAUGUAAACAAAAUGAAAUCCCAAACAGUCAGGUUCAACAUUACAAUGCCCAAAUAAACUCCCAAACCCAUGCAUGUACUGAUGUACCUAAUUUGGAAAUUUGGAAGUUCAUAACAUCUCAGCGCAUUGUCAGUCAUAAUUGCCUUCUCGUUCAUCUUGUUGAUCUUAGUCGGAGAUUUGUCAUUUCUUGAAGGCCAAUCUACUGCCUUCUUGUUUGAUGGCAGUGGGUUGACUUUAAUAUCGCUAUAGAGGCUGAUCCUUUAGGCUAUGCUUGAUUUUUGGUAUGUCUGUUCCUAGGAACAGAAUGGUUAUGGUAUUGGAAUAUGAUAGAUUACAAAUCAUCAUAAAGCAAAUGACAAUGCAAAAAUAUUUGUUAAUCCAUAACACUGAAUAGAAUGAUUAUUUCCAGAUGUCACUCUGGGAAUGUGUUUUUUUUAUCGUAUUGCAUAUUUGAUCGAAUGGCAACCUUGCAAUUUCCUGACAUUUGCUUCAUGAUGACACUACUCUUCUUCUGUCAGCUGUCAAAUCUGUACUAUAAUAUAUUAUUCCUAGGAAUAAACAUUCUGUGGACCAAACACAGCCAUAGUGUCAAUUUGGUUUGUCAGACCCUUUCACUCUUUAAAGCCUACUCCUUGUUAUAUGAACUUAAAUUGUUUUGGUGCCUGGAUGCGUAUCUUGGAUUUGAUGCUGUACUCUGGCGGAAUAAUGUUAUAUUUAUUUUGUUGUUUUCUUUUUCUUUCUUUGUCUUUGUAUUUUUGUUGGAAGAUAACUGAAAUGAUAUGCAAUUGUUAACUGUUAAAAGAACAGAAAUGAUGCACAAUUGUAAAAUCAAUCUUUAAAAUCUCUACAAGUAGAAUUAUUUCUAUUAGAAAACUGGUUGCCAUUUUUGUUAAUUUUGGUUGACUUCAGUUUUGAUAAACAACUUUUUCUUAGCAGAUUUUUGUGUCUUAGUGGAUUGACAAGGUAUCAAAAACUGCACAUCUCCAUAAAGCACUAUCCUUUCUGGUUUUGCCAAAACCUUAUUGAUUACUUUCCGGAAUUCCCCACAUCCUGCAGGGCCACCAGGCUUCACCAAAACACGAGAAGAGAACACACCAUGAAAAGUUGUUGGUUUAGGAAAGCUUGUAUUUGCAAUAUUUUGUCUUUUUAUUUCUUUGUUUUGUUCCUGGAGAUUUGGUCAAUAUGGUAAAAUAGAUUGAGUCUUCGUUGGUUAUUAUUGUGGUUAGGAGAUUGUGUUUUGCGUGAGGGUUGUUAUUUUCUCUUGGUGUCCCCUUUUUCAGUUUCUUCUCCCUUCACCCUCUCUUGUCCUAUAGAAGAUCUUGGAGUUUUGUGAGUCCCUCGUAAUAGGCCUCUAAUUCAAAUUAUUCUACACCACUAUGAACACUAUGGUGUGCUGUAACACUAGAUGCUAUCUUUUGAGGAAGCUUUUCAAAAUAGAAGUGGCGGUAGUUUACUCGA